Long non-coding RNA from Paramormyrops kingsleyae, 408 nucleotides. RefSeq lists it as uncharacterized. NCBI's taxonomy places the organism in Eukaryota, Metazoa, Chordata, Actinopteri, Osteoglossiformes, Mormyridae. The record is from RefSeq and is a predicted model, not a curated record.
GACUGUGAGAGCCGUCAUCUCCAAAUGUGAAAACAAUCUUGCAACAGUAGCUAAUCUGCCCAGGAGUGACCAGCCUAGCAGAAUUACUUUCAAGAGCACAUAGAAAACUCAUCAAGGAAUUCAAAGCAGACCCCAGACAAACAUCUAAGGAACUGCAGGCUUCUCUCAGACACUGGAAGUCAGUAUUGAGGAACCAGCUUCUCCGGGUCAAGGGAUCAUGUGGUUUUUUAAUCCAGAGAAGAGGUUUACAUCUCCAGCACUGACUCACUCACCAGUUAUGCUACAGAUUGCACAUUGAAGAGAACAUGCUUUUUAAAAUUUGUUUCCUGGUUGAAUUUGGAGAUGUGUUUCAUUGUCCACCCUGUUUGUGCACCAUAGGGUUUGGGGAAAAUAAAAUUCUUGAUGUGA